This 228-nucleotide ribosomal RNA is filed under the name uncultured bacterium. Its description in RNAcentral is "partial 16S ribosomal RNA". It matches the Rfam family "Bacterial small subunit ribosomal RNA", at positions 103 to 334 of the family's 1533-position model. The record is from RNAcentral.
CGGGUGAGUAAUGUAGUGGGAUCUGCCUGAUGGCGGGGGAUAACUACUGGAAACGGUAGCUAAUACCGCAUAAUGUCUGCGGACCAAAGCGGGGGACCUCCGGGCCUCGCGCCAUCAGAUGAACCCAUAUGGGAUUAGCUUGUAGGUAAGGUAACGGCUUACCUAGGCGACGAUCCCUAGCUGGUCUGAGAGGAUGAUCAGCCACACUGGGACUGAGACACGGCCCAG